This is a long non-coding RNA of Equus caballus (horse), 3721 nucleotides long. Lineage: Eukaryota; Metazoa; Chordata; Mammalia; Perissodactyla; Equidae. The record is from Ensembl.
UUUUUUUUUGUUAAUUGUAAAUUCAUAUGUUUCAACAGCUGACUGAACUGGGGUGAGGGCUGACAGUUUUUUGGUGAGAUUUUAAGAAUCUGAGGAGAUGAUGUGUUUAAAGGGAAAAACAAUCCAGUCAUUAUCCAUGGUAGCUCAAGGAAGUACCUAUGAAAAGGGCUAAACCUUUUUCUUAAAAAAUAAAUUAGGUGUACUCCCAGUGUCAGAGGAGAAUUAUUCAUAAUAGCCAAAAGGUGGAAGCAGCCCAAAUGUCCAUCCACAGAUGAAUGAAAAAAUUGUGGUAUAUACAUACAAUGGAAUAUUAGUCAGCCUUAAAAAGGAGGAAAUUUUGACAAAUGCCACAACAUGAAUGAAACUUGAAGACAUUAAGUGAAAUAGACCAGUCACAAAAGGACAAACAUUAUAUGAUUUCCCUUAUAUGAGGUUUCCGGAGUCGUAAAAUUCAUAGAGACAGAAAGUAGAAUGGUGGUUGCCAGGAACUGGGGAGGCGGAGAAUGAGGAGUGAUUGUUUAAAGGGCACAGAGUUUCAGUCUGGGAAGAUGACAAAGUUCUGGAGAUGGAUAGUGGUAAUGGUUGCACAACUAUAUGAAUGUACUUAAUGCCACAGAAUCGCACAUUUUAAAAUGGUAAUUUUAUGUUAUGUAUUAUUUUACUACAAUUAAGAAAAAAAGAAUGGAAAAAAAUAAAUUAGGAAUACUCCAAAAAAUGCAUGAAUGGCUCAAAGUUUGACAGUGUAGAGCCUGGCCACAAUAAUUUUAACUUGAAAAUCUUUAAAAGGAGGCAUUGCCAAACGCCCACCUUGGUCAUAAAAAAAUCCCAAUAAAUCUCCCAGGUUUAGAAUGUCUAAUUUUUAGAAAUGAAGUUUCCUGGUGAACCUUCCAAGACAAACUGAUUCCAAAACACACAUUUGGGCAAAUGAACUUAUUAGCUUACUGUCUCAGGUUGUUCACUAUAGCCGGUUGGGGACAUGUUCUUAUUAAUUCCUACACCAACUCUAUAUAAGUCAGGUGUGUUUUGUAGAUGAGCAAACCAAGGCUCAGAAAGAUCAAAUAGCUUUCCUAAGGUCAUCUUGCUAGUAAGUAGUAGAUCUUGGAUUUGAACCAACCCUCUCCCAUACGCAUCUUGUCUACACAGGCUCUAAGAGGCCCUACCUCCAUUAUCUUUUAUCACACCUAAUGAAUCCUCCAGCAAAACAGAAAUAUCAUCCCGGUUUCCCUUUGCUGGGUUUUACAGGCUAUUUGGGGCUAGUACAAGACAACUAGAAGGGCCUUAUUCGUAACUAAAGGUAGCCAGCUCCACCUCUGCCGACACCCUCACAACUUAUAUAGGGGACGAAGACCCACAGGAAACGUGUGAAUUUCCUUCACUAUUUCACUUCACUUUGUUUCCUCGUUAGUAAACAUUAUUGAAAAUCUCUGUGUCAGAAGACUGGCCUGGAAACUGGAGGUUUAAAACAAUUCACAGAGAAAAUAUUUGGUAAAUAUGAGUAAGAAAAUGCCCUUUGAUUUCCCACCCUCUGUCCUCAAGCUUUUGAGCACAGGGCCAACUGUGAAGUCAGUUCAGAGCAGCCCUAAGCGGGCCCCCCCUCCCACAAGUCUCCAGGGAUGUCAUUAGUCAAUCAAGCCUGUUCCGAAUUCUAUUCUCCUCCCCUCUAGCCCUUGCUAAUUGCUCCUAAUUAUAUACCCAGGAAUCCCUCUCUCCCUGGGGCGUGUGUCCAGAAAACACAGUGUGUUUUGUCUUCUCUGGGCUAAUUAGGAUUUGCUCAAGGAAGCAGCCGACUUCCUUAGGAGCCAGGUGUGGCCAUGCUGCCAUAGGAUGAAACGGUCUCUUCUCUCUUUGUUCAGGUACCUUGUCCCUUGGCAGCCUAAACUUGCAGAGUGUGCUAAAGGCCCAAUUUGUGCCGCUUUCUCCUUUUUGCACUGCUUCAGUGCAAGUCGUAUUUUAUGGAAGUUCAGUGGCAUUUUUCAAAGUAAAAAGUAAGUGGUCUUCAUAUAUUCCUUAUAUGUGUAAUCUGAGCACCUUUGAAUUUUUUACACGAUGUCUCCUGCCACAUUGAUACAUGCAGUAUUUAUUAACUAACUGCGCCUUUACAAUUCACCAGCUUUUUGAUUGAUUUCCUCUUGGUGGUCACCAGAGGCAUAAAUAACUAGGUGUUUCACACCUUGUGUGUCCACGUCUUUUUUCUGGUCGUAUCUUACUUGUUUGGCCAUGCUGCUAUUUCUGCAAAAAUACUGCACAUCUCAGUGCUGUUGAGAGUUGCUGUGCUAGACUAGAUUUGGGGGUACUGCCCCAAGUGCGUUCUGAAGACCUUUAAAAAAACAUUUCAGUGUGGUGGAAGGAAUAAUGGGCAGAAAGUCAGGAACCCAAAGUUCAAGCUAUGAUUCCACCAUCAACAUCCUUGGUAAAGUUACUUUCCUUCUGUGCACCUCAGUUGUGCCACCUCCAAAAUGGAAAUGUUUUACUAGGUGACAUCCUGUUGCUCUGUCUUCAUUUUGUUGCAUGAACCAUUUGUUCAUUUUGAGUCACAGAGAUUUGAUGAGUUUUAUUGACAUACAAAUUGAAGAAAGCUUGAGCUGUUCUUUAUUUAGCCUUAUUCUCCCCCCCCAAACAAAUGGUUGCCUAGAAGCAUCUACUUCAACUCAGCCAACUUUUCUUUAUUGACUACCAAUGAAAAAUCUUUUCUGCUCCACCUGGAUUUGUGACUUCCCCUCUCUGCUCUCCACCUCUUCAACUCUCCUGGCUCCUGAUCACUGCCCUUUCUCUUGGAAGACUGUUGUCUGCUUUUUCUCCUGUGGGAAUUCGUUUUAUUCCUUCUUCAACGUUAAUUUUACCCUACUCAAUAGCAAAAACUAACUCAUGUUUCUCUGAAAGAUCUUUAAAAUUUAGGGAGUAGUAUAUGAAGGUAAAACUUAAAAUAAAUUCUUAUGAGCAUUUGAUAUUAAUUUGAUAUUAGUCACAUGAAUCCAGAAAUAGACUCUCUUUUUAGAGAAAAGAGGCACCUGCUAUAAUUGCCCCACUUGCCUUGGCUUGGAGGUUGCCAUUUUGGACAGCAAUGUGAGUUUCCUUUCUUCUCGUUUCCUGCCUAUGCGAAUAAGGAAAUGCCAGAGACCUUCCCACCCCCUCAGCCAACCCAGUACUCCCUGUUCAGGUGCUUCUGCCAACUAAUUAACACCUCCUUCGUAAGCUGUAAAUUGGACGGCAGAUGCACAUGAACGCAGAACCCAGUGGGGAGUCUCAUGCUUUCUCUAUACAUGUAUUUCAUGAAAGGUUGGAAGUGAAAUCAAAUAGGCUGAUGGGAAAUUUGUUUUGCCAAAAUGGCCACCCCCAGAAUCUUAUAUAAAUUUAUGGGCUUUUAACACUAAAUAAAUUUCUCAUGUCUUUGGAAGAAAGGCCAGUUUUUGUUGUUUUCAAACAUAAUCCACUAGGUUCUCAAAAUUCUGGAAAAGUGCUUGAACAUCUUUGGGCAGUCCUAGAGUCGUGGGUACCAGAGAUGCAGGCACAUUUGCACACUGACCAUGGAUCCAUUAGACAUUAUCCUUCCAGCCUUCCAAGGACCAGGGUCUUGACCAUUAAAUCCCUGCCUCUAGUCUCAAUCUGUUCCGGUUUAUCCUUUAUUUUGAUGCCAGUGUUCUGUCUAUAAACCAAAUAGGAUCACAUCAUAGGCUUAAAAUAGUUUUAUACUUGUCCAUGACUCAUAGGAUAUAUCCUAAAC